UACGUAGGGGGCGAGCGUUGUCCGGAUUUAUUGGGCGUAAAGGGCGUGUAGGCGGUUCGUUAAGUCUGAUGUGAAAGCCCCGGGCUCAACCCGGGAAGUGCAUUGGAAACUGGCGAACUUGAGUACGGGAGAGGGCAGUGGAAUUCCUAGUGUAGGAGUGAAAUCCGUAGAUAUUAGGAGGAACACCGGUGGCGAAGGCGGCUGCCUGGACCGAUACUGACGCUGAGACGCGAAAGCGUGGGGAGCAAACAGG
Molecule: ribosomal RNA, 253 nt
Filed under: uncultured bacterium
Lineage: Bacteria
Description: partial 16S ribosomal RNA
Rfam family: Bacterial small subunit ribosomal RNA
Source: RNAcentral